This 78-nucleotide transfer RNA is filed under the name Lyngbya aestuarii BL J. RNAcentral describes it as "tRNA-Gln". It matches the Rfam family "tRNA". Rfam says of the family: Transfer RNA (tRNA) molecules are approximately 80 nucleotides in length. Lineage: Bacteria; Bacillati; Cyanobacteriota; Cyanophyceae; Oscillatoriales; Microcoleaceae. The record is from RNAcentral.
UGCCCUGUGGUGUAAUUGGCACCCGAUCGCACUUUGAAUGUUCGUUGAGUCCAGGUUCGAUCCCUGGCGGGGCAACCA